This 164-nucleotide ribosomal RNA is filed under the name Styphelia tameiameiae. RNAcentral's name for it is "5.8S ribosomal RNA". It matches the Rfam family "5.8S ribosomal RNA". Rfam says of the family: 5.8S ribosomal RNA (5.8S rRNA) is a component of the large subunit of the eukaryotic ribosome. It is transcribed by RNA polymerase I as part of the 45S precursor that also contains 18S and 28S rRNA. The record is from RNAcentral. Lineage: Eukaryota; Viridiplantae; Streptophyta; Magnoliopsida; Ericales; Ericaceae.
UAAACGACUCUCGGCAACGGAUAUCUUGGCUCUUGCAUCGAUGAAGAACGUAGCGAAAUGCGAUACUUGGUGUGAAUUGCAGAAUCCCGUGAACCAUCGAGUCUUUGAACGCAAGUUGCGCCUGAAGCCAUUAGGCUGAAGGCACGUCUGCCUGGGCGUCACGC